CGGACGGGUGAGUAAUGUCUGGGAAACUGCCUGAUGGAGGGGGAUAACUACUGGAAACGGUAGCUAAUACCGCAUAACGUCGCAAGACCAAAGAGGGGGACCUUCGGGCCUCUUGCCAUCGGAUGUGCCCAGAUGGGAUUAGCUAGUAGGUGGGGUAACGGCUCACCUAGGCGACGAUCCCUAGCUGGUCUGAGAGGAUGCCAGCCACACUGGGACUGAGACACGGUCCAG
RNAcentral lists this ribosomal RNA (231 nucleotides) under uncultured bacterium. Its description in RNAcentral is "partial 16S ribosomal RNA". It matches the Rfam family "Bacterial small subunit ribosomal RNA", at positions 99 to 334 of the family's 1533-position model. The record is from RNAcentral.